UGAGUACGAGACGCUAAGGCGUUGAAGCAGUCUAUGUCAGACUUCCAAGAAAAGCUCGCAAUGUCAUGAACAAAAAAUGCCUGUACCAUAACCGACACAGGUGGGUAGGUAGAGUAUACUAAGGGGCGCGAGAUAACUCUCUCUAAGGAACUCGGCAAAAUGACUCCGUAACUUCGGGAGAAGGAGUGCCUUAUUUUUAUAAGGUUGCAAUAACAAGAUCCAAGCAACUGUUUACCAAAAACACAGGUCUCCGCUAAGUCGUAAGACGAUGUAUGGGGGCUGACGCCUGCCCAGUGCCAGAAGGUUAAAGAAGUUGGUUAGUUUCGGCGAAGCUGAUGACUGAAGCCCUGGUGAACGGCGGCCGUAACUAUAACGGUCCUAAGGUAGCGAAAUUCCUUGUCGGGUAAGUUCCGACCCGCACGAAAGGCGUAAUGAUUUGGAUACUGUCUCGGAGAGGGGCUCGGUGAAAUAGACUUGUCUGUGAAGAUGCGGACUACCUGCACCUGGACAGAAAGACCCUAUGAAGCUUUACUGUAACUUGAGAUUGAAAUUGGACUUUAUUUGCGCAGUAUAGGUGGGAGACGUUGAGAAUAUUCUUGCGGGAAUAUUGGAGUCAUCAGUGAGAUACCACUCUUGUAAUGUUAGAUUUCUAACUUUGUAUCAUGAUCUGGUCAAAGGACAGUUUCAGGCGGGCAGUUUGACUGGGGCGGUCGCCUCCCAAACGGUAACGGAGGCGCACAAAGGUUUCCUCUGAACGUGUAGAAAUCGUAUCUAGAGUGUAAAGGCAUAAGGAAGCUUGACUGUGAGACCUACAAGUCGAGCAGGGACGAAAGUCGGUCUUAGUGAUCUGACGGUGCUGAGUGGAAAGGCCGUCACUCAACGGAUAAAAGUUACUCUAGGAUAACAGGCUGAUCUCCCCCAAGAGUUCACAUCGACGGGGAGGUUUGGCACCUCGAUGUCGGCUCAUCGCAUCCUGGGGCGGUAGUACGUCCCAAGGGUUGGGCUGUUCGCCCAUGAAAGCGGUACGCGAGCUGGGUUCAGAACGUCGUGAGACAGUUCGGUCCAUAUCCGGUGUAGGCGUUAGAAUAUUGAGAGGAGCCUUCUUUAGUACGAGAGGACCGAGAAGGACAUACCUCUGGUGUACCAGUUAUCGUGCCAACGGUAAACGCUGGGUAGCUAUGUAUGGAGUGGAUAACCGCUGAAAGCAUCUAAGUGGGAAGCCCACCUCAAGAUAAGUAUUCUC
This 1243-nucleotide ribosomal RNA is filed under the name metagenome. RNAcentral's name for it is "bacterial LSU rRNA". It matches the Rfam family "Bacterial large subunit ribosomal RNA", at positions 1564 to 2815 of the family's 2925-position model. The record is from RNAcentral.